GACGAACGCUGGCGGCGUGCUUAACACAUGCAAGUCGCGGGGGUGAGCAAUCACUCACCGGCGAACGGGUGCGUAACACGUGAGCGACCUGCCCACCUGUGGGGUAUAGCCGGCCCAACGGCCGGGUAAUCCCGCAUACGCUUCUCAGGCUGCAUGGUCUGGGGAGAAAAGCCGCAAGGCGCAGGUGGAGGGGCUCGCGGCCUAUCAGCUAGUUGGCGGGGUAACGGCCCACCAAGGCAAUGACGGGUAGCUGGUCUGAGAGGAUGGCCAGCCACAUUGGGACUGAGAUACGGCCCAGACUCCUACGGGAGGCAGCAGUGGGGAAUCUUGCGCAAUGGUCGAAAGACUGACGCAGCGACGCCGCGUGCGGGAGGAAGCCCUUCGGGGUGUAAACCGCUGUUACUCGGGGACGAACCCUCUCGAUUUCAUCGAGAUUGACGGUACCGGGGGAAGGAAGCACCGGCUAACUCUGUGCCAGCAGCCGCGGUAAUACAGAGGGUGCGAGCGUUGUCCGGAAUCACUGGGCGUAAAGGGCGCGUAGGCGGCUUCUCAAGCGUGCGGUGAAAGCUCGGGGCUUAACUCCGAGUCAGCCGUGCGAACUGGGAGGCUUGAGUCUGGUAGAGGUCGAUGGAAUUCCGGGUGUAGCGGUGGAAUGCGUAGAGAUCCGGAAGAACACCGGUGGCGAAGGCGGUCGACUGGGCCAGAACUGACGCUGAGGCGCGACAGCGUGGGGAGCAAAACAGGAUUAGAUACCCUGGUAGUCCCUAAGAU
RNAcentral lists this ribosomal RNA (771 nucleotides) under uncultured bacterium. RNAcentral describes it as "bacterial SSU rRNA". It matches the Rfam family "Bacterial small subunit ribosomal RNA", at positions 28 to 803 of the family's 1533-position model. The record is from RNAcentral.